Molecule: long non-coding RNA, 319 nt
Organism: Gavialis gangeticus (Gharial)
Lineage: Eukaryota; Metazoa; Chordata; Crocodylia; Gavialidae
Exons: 3
Source: RefSeq, a predicted model, not a curated record
CCCUGCCCACUAAACAGAUGUUGAGAAUUUGGAAGAGGGUAUCUUUGUGCCAUGGUUUAAAUUUGUCCUCAAGCGUCUGAAUGCACCACACGGGUGUUAGCGUGGGGUGGGUGUUGGGAGAAGAGGUUACCAGACAUGUCUACACAGGAGGCUAUGUUAAAGGAAGUUUACUACUCUCCUGGUGAAGCUGGCAGUUUUGGUGGGGUGAACAUGCUUUUUGAAGCCACCAAAAGGCAAAAUAAGGUUCUGAACAGAAGUGGGGUGGCCGCAUGGCUUUCAGAUCAGGAUGCUUACACCCUACACAAACCAGCAAGAAGAU